RNAcentral lists this long non-coding RNA (206 nucleotides) under Lathyrus oleraceus (garden pea). RNAcentral describes it as "Pisum sativum (pea) long non-coding RNA (PSAT_LNC031254)". The record is from RNAcentral. Lineage: Eukaryota; Viridiplantae; Streptophyta; Magnoliopsida; Fabales; Fabaceae.
GAUAUAGCCGUUACUUUUGGUUUCCAUUCUCUAGUCAAGGAUCUUAGAACUUUAAGAUUGAGAUCAUCAUUUGUAAAGGUCUUUCCGAGAGUAAUUAAAUGAUUCGUCAAGUGAACAAAUCUUUUCUGCAAUGCAACAAUGGAUUCUUCGGGCUGCAUUCUGAACAUUUCAUAUUCUUGACUCAAUGUGUUUAAUCUGGAUUUUUU